RNAcentral lists this ribosomal RNA (433 nucleotides) under uncultured bacterium. RNAcentral's name for it is "partial 16S ribosomal RNA". It matches the Rfam family "Bacterial small subunit ribosomal RNA", at positions 29 to 507 of the family's 1533-position model. The record is from RNAcentral.
AGCGAACGCUGGCGGCAGGCCUAACACAUGCAAGUCGAACGAACUCUUCGGAGUUAGUGGCGGACGGGGGGGUAACACGUGGGAACGUGCCUUUUGGUUCGGUAUAACUCAGGGAAACUUGUGCUAAUACCGAAUGUGCCCUUCGGGGGUAAGAUUUAUCGCCAUGAGAGCGGCCCGCGUCUGAUUAGCUAGUUGGUGAGGUAACGGCUCACCAAGGCGACGAUCAGUAGCUGGUCUGAGAGGAUGACCAGCCACACUGGGACUGAGACACGUCCGAGACUCCUACGGGAGGCAGCAGUGGGGAAUCUUGCGCAAUGGGCGAGAGCCUGACGCAGCCAGGCCGCGUGAAUGAUGAAGGUCUUAGGAUUGUAAAAUUCUUUCACCGGGGACGAUAAUGACGGUACCCGGAGAAGAAGCCCCGGCUAACUUCGUG